GAGGAGAGAAACACAUGGCUGGCAAGUCUCGUCCGGAUGAAUGAAUUAAAAGAUAGGUUCUGUUCAUCUUGGUUUGCUCCAGUUGGGUCCGCAAGUGAUUAUCCACUUCUAUCGAAGUGGGUUAUUUAUGGGGAGUUAGGUUGUAAUGGAAGUGGAUGUGCAGGUUCAUCUGAUGAAAUCUCUCCUAUAUACUCAUUAUGGGCCACUUUUAUUGGUCUAUACAUUGCCAAUUAUGUUGUCGAAAGGUCGACAGGGUGGGCACUUUCUCACCCUUUGUCAGUUCAAGAGUAUGAGAAGUCGAAGAAAAAACAGAUGAAGCCUGAUUUUUUGGAUAUGGUUCCUUGGUAUUCAGGAACAUCUGCUGACUUAUUCAAGACUGUCUUUGACCUCUUGGUAUCAGUAACUGUAUUUGUUGGUCGUUUUGACAUGCGAAUGAUGCAGGCCGCAAUGACUAAAGUUGAAAAUGGAGAACAACAGGGAGAUCUUUUGUAUGAUCACUUCAGCGAGAAGGAAGAUCUGUGGUUUGACUUCAUGGCUGAUACUGGUGAUGGUGGGAACUCAUCAUAUACUGUCGCACGACUACUUGCAAAGCCUUCCAUUCAGCUUACUAGAGGUGAUUCUGUGCUUUCCCU
This 632-nucleotide unclassified non-coding RNA is filed under the name Hevea brasiliensis (rubber tree). Lineage: Eukaryota; Viridiplantae; Streptophyta; Magnoliopsida; Malpighiales; Euphorbiaceae. The record is from RNAcentral.